GACGAACGCUGGCGGCGUGCUUAACACAUGCAAGUCGAACGGAAAGGCCUGCUUUCCCUUGUGGAUUGCGGGUACUCGAGUGGCGAACGGGUGAGUAACACGUGAGUGAUCUGCCCCCAACUUGGGUAUAAGCCUGGGAAACUGUGUCUAAUUCCCGAUAGGACUGCAGGGUGGUGCCUGUGGUGGAAAACGAUUUUCUAGUGGUUGGGGAUGAGCUCGCGGCCUAUCAGCUUGUUGGUGGGGUAAUGGCCUACCAAGGCGGCGACGGGUAGCCGGACUGAGAGGGGGGACGGCCACAUUGGGACUGAGACAAGGCCCAGACUCCUACGGGAGGCAGCAGUGGGGAAUAUUGCACAAUGGGCGGAAGCCUGAUGCAGCGACGCCGCGUGGGGGAUGACGGCCUUCGGGUUGUAAACUCCUUUCGACCGCGAGGAAGCCACCUGGUUGGAAGGGUGGUGACGGUAGUGGUAGAAGAAGCACCGGCUAACUACGUG
RNAcentral lists this ribosomal RNA (494 nucleotides) under uncultured bacterium. Its description in RNAcentral is "partial 16S ribosomal RNA". It matches the Rfam family "Bacterial small subunit ribosomal RNA", at positions 28 to 507 of the family's 1533-position model. The record is from RNAcentral.